AUGGGACAUGCUGAUGAGCAGACCCCGUGCUUUGCUGCUACCUGGAUGCAUGGCCAUCGUUCAGAGCUGUCUGCAGUCGCCAAGAGGGACCUGGAGCUGCCACUCCUGAUGUCCUUGGUGCAGGGACAGCCCUCCUUUCCCUGCCUCUUGGGUUGUGGUUUUGAGAAGCCUGAAAUAAAGACAAAGCUAAUGGCAAAGAUGAGCAAUGCUGCCGCAUCACUGCCAGCCGUGAGCUCGAGUCCUCAGCUCCUUUCCUGGGGCCAUCCCAGGCAGCGAUGCUGUGCACAUCUGGGCUAUGGUUUCACACCGGGACCAGACACCCGUGAUGGGUGCUGCGGUCAGACCUGGGUUCUCUUCUCACCCCAUCCCUCGUGCAAACCAAACCUCCAAUUGUCUUGUGUAUCAGACAAAAUGGGGUUGUCAGUGGCAGUGGGGGAAAACCCCUGUUCCUGGGUAAAAAGCAAACCCCAGCUCCUCCAAAGGAUGGGCUGGGUUGUAUUUGGGCACAGGCAUGUAUGUGUUUUAAGCAACGUUUAUUAGCGAAGUAUUCCAUGUAGAAAGAUGCGCCUGGCUUUGAUUUAUGUUACACGAGAAACAUCUCGGCCAGGGCCAAAAGCACAGAGCUUAGAGACGGGGGGACACGAAGCAAACUGUUCCUUCUGUGCUGCAUAAUGAGAUGUUUGCUGUGCGACAAUUAUGUAAGUGGUUUCGUGUUAGCGGGUUCAAAACAAAUCUAUGAAUACAGCAUGUAUUUUGAAAUGCAUUGCUGUGCCUGCAAACGAGCCUCCUAAAAAAGAGUCCCCGCGUGGAGCCGGAGCGCUGCGUGAAUGCGUUCAGUCCAUACAGCUUGGGGAAGUUCCUCGGAAAUAACCUCAUUCCCCAGAAUUCUUCCUCUUCCCUCUUCUUGUUCUACUUGGGGCCACGUUUGUGCAAUGCUUUGUGGUGGUGUUCCCCAAAUAGACCCUCUAAGGGCUGGCGUGGCUGCACCCUAAGUCCUGGAACAAGGCAUCCCAUGGGUGUAUAGGAACUACCUGCUGCAGAACGGAUGCGUUUCUGGGGAGGGGUGUUUUCCCAAAAAGCCAUGCGUGAGAAAUUACCUUUGGGAAGCAAAAGCCAAAAAAUAAGAAGGGAACGAUGUUAAACAGGAGCGACUCCAACCCGCACGAGCUUUAUUUGCAAACAACACCCAAAGCUGCUGGAGCGCUGCCACCCCUCUCUUACAAACCCGGCGCAGGCAGCGUGCAGUGCGGUCGGUGCUGCAGAGGGGUGUGUGCUCUCUCAGGUCUGCCUGGAUGGGGGUCAGGGGGGGUUAUUGCCGUGCUGCCCACUGCCUGAGAUGGGUGGAAGCCUCUUCUCCACGCUGCAGAAAGGAUGGGCGCAAUGUGCCGGCGCCAAUGGGAAUUGAUGGGUCCCCCCGCCUGGCAGAGCAGAGCAAAUCCCCUCGUCCUUUUAUCCCUACAAAUGUGGGGAGUGCUUUUUUUUUAUCGUUAUUUUCAACACAAAACACG
Molecule: long non-coding RNA, 1508 nt
Filed under: Numida meleagris (helmeted guineafowl)
Lineage: Eukaryota; Metazoa; Chordata; Aves; Galliformes; Numididae
Description: lncRNA (ENSNMEG00000001310.1)
Source: RNAcentral